UUCUCUUGAGAGCGGCGGACGGGUGAGUAAUGCCUAGGAAUCUGCCUGGUAGUGGGGGAUAACGUUCGGAAACGGACGCUAAUACCGCAUACGUCCUACGGGAGAAAGCAGGGGACCUUCGGGCCUUGCGCUAUCAGAUGAGCCUAGGUCGGAUUAGCUAGUUGGUGAGGUAAUGGCUCACCAAGGCGACGAUCCGUAACUGGUCUGAGAGGAUGAUCAGUCACACUGGAACUGAGACACGGUCCAGACUCCUACGGGAGGCAGCAGUGGGGAAUAUUGGACAAUGGGCGAAAGCCUGAUCCAGCCAUGCCGCGUGUGUGAAGAAGGUCUUCGGAUUGUAAAGCACUUUAAGUUGGGAGGAAGGGUUGUAGAUUAAUACUCUGCAAUUUUGACGUUACCGACAGAAUAAGCACCGGCUAACUCUGUGCCAGCAGCCGCGGUAAUACAGAGGGUGCAAGCGUUAAUCGGAAUUACUGGGCGUAAAGCGCGCGUAGGUGGUUUGUUAAGUUGGAUGUGAAAUCCCCGGGCUCAACCUGGGAACUGCAUUCAAAACUGACUGACUAGAGUAUGGUAGAGGGUGGUGGAAUUUCCUGUGUAGCGGUGAAAUGCGUAGAUAUAGGAAGGAACACCAGUGGCGAAGGCGACCACCUGGACUAAUACUGACACUGAGGUGCGAAAGCGUGGGGAGCAAACAGGAUUA
This 700-nucleotide ribosomal RNA is filed under the name bacterium YN06B-6. RNAcentral's name for it is "bacterial SSU rRNA". It matches the Rfam family "Bacterial small subunit ribosomal RNA", at positions 84 to 780 of the family's 1533-position model. The record is from RNAcentral.